This 19189-nucleotide long non-coding RNA is filed under the name Oryza brachyantha (malo sina). RNAcentral's name for it is "long non-coding RNA (OBRA_LNC000289)". The record is from RNAcentral. Lineage: Eukaryota; Viridiplantae; Streptophyta; Magnoliopsida; Poales; Poaceae.
GCUCGCGUUGCCGGAGGCCGCCCCCUCCUCCUCCUCCUCCUCCCCUUCCCCUUCCCCCACCUCCCCAUCCUCCUUCGAGAAGGACACCCUCUCAGGAUACUUCACAUCCGAGCCAAGGUCGAAGUAAUCGUACUUGAUCGCCCCAGCGUCGUCGUCACCGCCCUCCCCGCCGCCAUCGCUCGGCUCGGCCACGGCCGCCGUGGGGGAGGCGAGGAGCAGCUCCCAGUCGUUCAGGUCCGCCGCUUCCCCGUCCAUCGGGGAGGAAGCAGACGACGGCGAGGGGUCACCUGGGUGGGUGGAGCCGAGCGGCGGAGGCGGUGGGAUUUGGAGAGGAGAGAGGAGAGAGCGUUGUGCCGUGUUGGGUGGGGAAGGGAAGGGAAGAUUUGCGGGUUUGCGAGGAAAAGGUGGUUAUUUUUGCAGGGGAAACACUUUGGAUUCUAGCGUUUUGGGUGGAAGGGGGGGAGGAGGAGAAGAACCUGAUUCGUUUUUGUUUGCACCAUCCAUCCAUCCAUUCACUGAAUGAUGGUUGUAUUCAAUGCACAAUUGUGUCUACCUCUAAAUAUUUUAAAAAAAUGUCUAAUUGUCUUGGGUUAAAAAAAUGUACAGUUUUACUAAUUUUAUAUAUAUAUACCUUAGACGUAAAGGGAGUAGUUACACAUGUAUAGAGGCUUUCUAUAUAUAUAUCCCUAGUGAAAUAUAUUAAUAUUAUUAUAAUAUAACUCUUAAUUACUGCUCCCUCCUUUUUCACAAGCUAAAACUUUGAAAAUGUCUAGAUUAAUCUAUAUAUUCAUUAUCAUCGAUAUGAAUCUAGACAAUAAUUAAAAGUCUUACCUCACGAAACAUAUAUAGUCCGAUUUUUCAAGAUGUAGGUAAUGUUCUAUUGUUUGCGAGAGAGUUGACUAUGCAAAACAAAAAAUAUAAUUAGAACAAGAUUUGGAAAAAAUGAAUUUAUUUAAUUUCAAAAGAAAUUUUGUAUAUACAACUUUUGGAAAAAAAUGUUUUGUUCAAUAAUUUAGAAAAUAUCUUUUUAAUAAUGGAAAAGCAUUACAUCUCCAACCUUUUCCGGUUAAACGUACCACCGAUGAGUUUUAGAACUAGAAUAAGAGCAACACCCAACUCCUAAUAAAUUGAACAUCGCCAUUGAUGGCGAGGAAUAUUCAUUUUCUAUAUGAGUAUCGAAAGAAAUGCGUGAACGGUAGAAACGAGAUGAAAUGUGAAAUGCAGGAGUAGAUUUUUAGAGGCCUGCAUGUCGAACCGGCGUUUCGUGGCGGCUACGAGCCCCGGGAUCUGCUCUCGCUUCUGGAAGCAUUCGCCGACAGAGAGUGCAUUUCUUGUCGAUUUCUUUGGCAUGUCGAAACCACAUUUUAGAUAUCUGUUCCUUUUAAGUGGAUCUAACGCCCUCGGUUUUCUCUGAUCCUUCUGUGACAGAAUGUCGAGUGAGAGCGAGAUUCUGGAGCUAUUCACCUUCGUCAUCAUUGGCAGGAAAGAAUAAAUCCUUUUGCAGAUUUUUCGCUUAUACUUAUGCAUACAGCUAAACUUAAAAUUUAGAACUUAACAUUGUAGUUAAUUUUUAGGAUUUUUCAUCACAUGCUUUAGAAUAAUAUGAACACAUAUAAUUUAUAAAUUAUUUUUAAUUAUUAAUAAGCCGUUUUAUUUGUGCUCGACUUCAGCUGAACAACGAGUCCGCAAAAUUACAACUGUCAGCGCAUUUUGAGUGAUCAUGAAACAGAUGAGUUUGGCACUUUGAAAGGUAAAGACCCUGUCCACGUCGCUCCUCUAGAUCUUUCUGUAACUUCAACCAUGAAUACGAAACUACCAGUUCAGCUGCUUUCUGCCGAAAAGGUUAUAUGCUCCGGGUGCACAAGUUAGCUCAGAGGGAAAAAAAAAUCAGCAGAUAAAAAGAGAAGAUUUUUUUUCUUCUGCAAAGUUUAUAUAUUUUUUUCUGUGAAGUCAGCAAACGUCAAAGUUAGGCCACCAGCAUCAGAUUGGCGCAUACAGCUUAAUAAAUUACCAGGUGCAGGUGCUGCCUGUUUUAUAUCACCCGUGUGCCAAUUCACAACCAUAAGAAAAGCACACGAGCUUUUCCAGUGUCUCGACGAAACAUCAUCUUCGUCAUUAGAGUGAUGAGGUUUGUUAGCCUGCAGAUUUAACGGAAACUGGUCCCUGGUUUAGCGAAUCCAUUAGCGCAUGGAGAUGGAGUGGCACAGCAACUGGGUCACCUGUUGCUGAUUUUGAUUCGGAGCAGUGGUUGGAAACCUUGGAGAUUUCUAGACGAGAAUCUGACGGCGGAGAAGUGUUUCGGUGGGCAUCUCACCUGGGGCCCGACCAAUUCUUUGUAUUGCAACUGAACGGCGGCGCCGGCGAUGGGGUCGCCGGCGCCGUGGAAGAUAGUGUACCAACUGCAUGCAGUGAAAACGUUUUUUUUUUUUUUGUAUUUUUGGGAACGAAACGAAAGAGUGUUGGAGUAGUAGCAAUGGACCGCGCUUACGCCGAGCUUGGUGUUGAUCUCUAAUCACGUCGGCGGCGCGCCGGCGCCGGCGAUGGCGUCGCCGGUGGGCAAGGGAUUGGUCGCGUACAACGCGGCCAUCUCCCGCUGCGCACGGGCGGGGCUGCACCGGCGGGCGCUGGAGCUGUUCGCCGAGAUGCGCGCGCGCGGCCUCCGCGCCGACGAGUACACCCUGCCGCCGGUCCUCAACUCCGCCGCGCUGCUCCGCGUCCCGCCGGCCGGCGCGCUCCACGCGCUCCUCCUCCGCGACGGCCUCGCGCUGCACCUCCACGUCUCCAAUGCCCUCGUUGACGCCUACGCCAAGCUGUCCCGCGUCGGCGCCGCGCUGGCCGUGUUCGACGAAAUGCCGCGCCGGGGCGGNNNNNNNNNNNNNNNNNNNNNNNNNNNNNNNNNNNNNNNNNNNNNNNNNNNNNNNNNNNNNNNNNNNNNNNNNNNNNNNNNNNNNNNNNNNNNNNNNNNNNNNNNNNNNNNNNNNNNNNNNNNNNNNNNNNNNNNNNNNNNNNNNNNNNNNNNNNNNNNNNNNNNNNNNNNNCGGUCCGGUCAGGGCCCGAGCCGUUCCUCUCGGUCGGCAACUCGCUCGUGUCCAUGUACGCCAAGACCGGCUCGCUCCGCGACGCGCGGACGGUGUUCGACGCGAUGCUCACCCGGUGCGCCAUCACAUGGACGGCGCUGAUCGUCGGGUACGCGCAGAACGGCCGGGGCAGGGAGUCCCUCGCCGUCUACGCCGACAUGGUCCGGUCCGGCUGCAGGCCGGACUACGUCACCUUCGUCGGCCUGCUCUUCGCCUGCAGCCACGCCGGCCUGGUCGACGCCGGCAAGGCUCACUUCCAGUCCAUGCAGUCCGAGCACGGCGUCGCUCCCGGACCGGACCACUACGCCUGCAUGGUCGACCUGCUAGGCCGUGCCGGCCGCCUCGACGAGGCCGUCGACCUGCUCGACGGGAGCCCGGCGGCCGAGCUCGACGCCACGGUCUGGAAAGCCCUCCUCGCCGCGUGCAGGACGCACCGGAACGCCGCGCUGGCCGAGCGGGCGGCGGCGAUGGUGUGGAGGCUGGACCCGGCGGACGCCGUGCCGUACGUCAUGCUGUCCAACCUCUACUCGCGGGCGAGGCGGUGGGGCGACGUGGCGAGGGUGCGCGCCCUGAUGAGGUCGCGAGGCAUCAGCAAGGAGCCCGGGUGCAGCUGGGUGUUGGUGGCCGGCGUGACGCACGUGUUCCACGCGGACGACGGGGAUCACCGGCGCGCGGCGGAGAUCCACCGGAAGGUGGAGGAGAUGACGGCGAGGAUCCGGGCGCGGGGGCACGUGCCGGACACCGAGUGGGCGCUGCAGGACGAGGCGCCGGAGGGGAGGGAGGAGGGGCUGGCUCACCACAGCGAGAGGCUCGCCGUCGCGUUCGGCCUCCUCGCCGUGCCGGCCGGCGCGCCGAUCCGCGUGUACAAGAACCUCCGGGUGUGCGGCGACUGCCACGCCGCGAUCAAGACGGUCGCCGAGGUGUACGGCAGGGAGAUCAUACUGAGAGAUUCCAACUGCUUCCAUCACAUGAAGGAUGGGGCCUGUUCUUGUGGAGACUACUGGUAACUGAGCUUGGUAGAAUCGUGUUGUCUUCGACCAUUUUUUGGUUCAUUUAGUGUAGGCAAUUAUUAGCGAACUCAGUCCAAUGAGCAUCUGGAGAGACAUGUUUCCUUCGAAAAAUUGCUCGUAUUUCUAGUAGAUCAGAUUGCAUCAAGGAUGACAAUGAUGAUGUACAAUGGGCUAGUAUGCUAUCAGAAAGGCCGCCUUUAGUCUUUUACUAGAAAAUCCUACCAUUCUAUUCAUCCAUCUCCUUUACAGCAUCCUGCAAAUCAUAGAAAAAUAUAUUUCAAAACUAGCAAAUUUGUAGCGGCAUAAAUCUAAUUAACCUAGAUUGAUUUAAAAACAGUUAAAAUUGCCUUAUGAAACAUAUAGAUUCAAAUACUGCCGAAUCCACAUUUGUUCAGUACGUGUGAUGCAUCACAAUAAGUCAAAUACCUUUGCAAGUCGUGUUACAUAUGUAGCAGCAAUGGCUGUAAAUAAUAGCCCUAUGCCCAGUGUCAGUAGCUGGCUGUUUCCUCCCAAACCGAUUUCUGACUCAUCUUGCUGUCAAAAUGGGAGCCAUGUCAUGUUUCACCGUAAAUAAAUAAAUAUGCAAGAACCAUGUAUUUCAAUAUUCAAGCCACUUGAUAAGCAUUGUAAAAAAUAUUAUGUGAUUUUCUUAUGCAAAUAUAAAUGGAAGACAACACGAUCAUUCGGCAAUGACAUGGAAAAACUCUCCUCACCCCAGACAUGUAACUAUUUCAUAGUAUUACCAAACCAAACACUACACCCUAAUAUUAUCAUGACAUAUCAAAGAUGUUAAUUGCUAAAUCAGCGAUGGGAUCAAUUCUACAGGCAGAACAAUGCAAGGCUAAAGAACAUCUUGACUUGAAUUACACAUUUGCAAUUCUGGUUAUUUAAACAUCUAAAAAUAAUUGCCCUUUGGACACUUCAUUACAAAGCAACGGUGGUCAGCAUACUGCAAAACACUCCCAAAUUUCUGGCAUGGACCAGCUCUUAUAGGUUAUUAGUGCAAUACUAUAUUAGAAAGCACAUAUGGUAAAUACAUGCAUUCCUAGAAAAUAGAGAGAGUACACAAAUACCACUGAUCAGUUAUUAGGAGCUGAAAGAGUUUGGUGGUUCAAAAGAUUUGGUUUUCAUAGAACAGAAUGGAUAAAAUGACGUUGGAAGUAAUGUGCUGGUAAUGAACUAAAACAAUUCAAUGAGUUUAAGAACUUACAAUUAUAGCUCGCCCAAAUGCACCAGCACUGACAUAAGCCCAUGUUCCUGGAAGCAUUCCCAACCAACUGCAUGCCAAUGGUAGAAAGAUAGAUGUUAACAAGGUUUUGACAAAAAGGUACACUAUUGACAAUCCUUCAAUUUUUGCCUUUUAAAAAGAUAUGAGAUUUGCAAUGGAUUAUUGGUAUCUUAACAAGUACGUACUAUAUGAUUUUUGCUCCUCUUUUGGUAUAAUAAAUUGCAUCACUACCAAAUAGAGGCAUUAUAUUGAGGUCACGUUGCCAUUCCUGUUUAAUUGACAGAACAUGCUAUAAUGGAAUCAUGGAAUAGCAGGAGUUGGUAGAAACUAACCUUCCCAAGACAUAAGGCAAGAAUUUCACUGAUGUCAAGCCAUACAAGUAGUUCCCAAGGGAGAAAGGUAAUAGGGGACUAAGUCGAAGCAGAGUAACAACCUUAAAUCCAUUUUCACCUAUUGCUUUAUCAAUUGCCAGAAACUUCUUGUUUCCUUCAACCAAUUUGAGAAUUCGCUCUCUGGCAAAGUAUCUAGCAAUAAGAAAGGCCACUGCUGCAGCUAGCUGCAAAUUUGGCAAAGUUCAGUAAGAAAAUGCAGCUAAAGGCAGAAUUAACAAAAAAAAUGUGCUGUUGAUGUGGAUUUACUUACUGUCCCGCUGAUUGAGACAAUAAUUGUACCAGUAAUACUACCAAACAAUAGACCUGCUGACAUUGUUAAUGGUAUCGCUGGAAUUGCAAGAACCUGAAUUCAAUGAAAUUCAUAGUAUUAUUAUGAGGCUGAAGUUCCAAUCCAGGUGCCAGGAAUAUAUGACAAAAGACUGUACACAUGACAGGAUUAAAUGCUCCAUGUUUACAUCUAAUAUCAAAGCGAACAAAGAAAUGGAUGUAAAGUACCGAAUGCCUACUCACUCAUAUUGUCACAUUCAAACAUUAUGGCACAACAAUCUACAAAAUUUGCGUGUAACUGAAAAGGCAAAAAUAUCAGCCUUACAUUAUCACUGUAAUUGACUAACUACUUUAGGUGAAAUUUAUAGAAACCAAGAUACUACAACAUCACUUUAAAGUUAAACUAAAGGACAUACCUCCAAUCCUGCAUACACCAGUACAAAUAAGGCAUAUCCAGCAGGGCCAUAACCUGUCCAUGUAAAGUAAGAUCACAUUUCAGGCAGAAGUUCAACUAAGGACAUUUGGCUGAAAAAAAAUCUAUGUUGUUCAGAUAGGUAUUGUGCAUAUAUGUUAAUGGCCAGUUGUGUGCUCUUUAUUUUGCCACAUAGCACACUUAGCAUGUUGAAGUAAGCUAGCCAAUAUAGCAUGUUGAUCCAAUCAAUACAUAUAUACUUCUUGAGAAACACAACACUUAAACUGUGCAAACCAUACUAAUGCCCCACUAGUUCGUUGGUUUUCCUCUAAAGCAUCAGUAUCCAGUUUCCGGUUUACUUUAGCACAGAAUCAGCAAAUAGCCACUUCUCCAGUACUAUUUCACAGCUCAGUCCAGAGUCCAGAUAGGCACAAGACAGUCAGAACUGGAUAACACAGCUGGAUUAGCCAUUACCAUCAAUGAAACCGGAGAACUGCGUGAGGAAGGUGUUGAUCUGGUCCUUGUACACGUAUCCCGCUGCCCCGAACCCCCCUACGAACCCAACCAGCAGAGCCCCGGCGAGGAGCGUCCCGGUGAUAGCCGCACCUCCAUCGCCUUCCUCACCCUCCGCAUCCUCCUCCUCCUCCUCCUCCUCCCCGACCCGUUCCGUUUUCUUCUCUCUCCCCCUCUUCAAACGCCGCCCCUUCAUCUCUCUCUCGCUUUCUCUCUGGCAUCAUCAUCNNNNNNNNNNNNNNNNNNNNNNNNNNNNNNNNNNNNNNNNNNNNNNNNNNNNNNNNNNNNNNNNNNNNNNNNNNNNNNNNNNNNNNNNNNNNNNNNNNNNNNNNNNNNNNNNNNNNNNNNNNNNNNNNNNNNNNNNNNNNNNNNNNNNNNNNNNNNNNNNNNNNNNNNNNNNNNNNNNNNNNNNNNNNNNNNNNNNNNNNNNNNNNNNNNNNNNNNNNNNNNNNNNNNNNNNNNNNNNNNNNNNNNNNNNNNNNNNNNNNNNNNNNNNNNNNNNNNNNNNNNNNNNNNNNNNNNNNNNNNNNNNNNNNNNNNNNNNNNNNNNNNNNNNNNNNNNNNNNNNNNNNNNNNNNNNNNNNNNNNNNNNNNNNNNNNNNNNNNNNNNNNNNNNNNNNNNNNNNNNNNNNNNNNNNNNNNNNNNNNNNNNNNNNNNNNNNNNNNNNNNNNNNNNNNNGGCGGGGGCUUGCUCUAGCACGCGGCGGGGCGUGCGGCCAUGAGAGCUCGGAAGCGAUAAGGCGGGGAGGGAGCAGCGGGACGGAGGAGGAAGGGGAAGCAAAGCGCUGGAGAGGAGGGGGAGGAGACGAACCGGGGCACGUGGCAGCGCGUGGGGCAAUGGUGGCGCACCGAGGCUGACAGGUGGGCCCGGCCGCCUGGUAUCUUCUAGGGUAGCAGCGGAGCACCUGGCGCGAUUCCUAGCAUGUGGUUUCAAAAUUCACCAAAAUUUACUACCUUUUCAAUAAAAUGAAUUAAAUUUAAACGCUUUGCAUCUUUCCACCUCCACAAUGGCGACACUAUCGGCAUGUGGAGACGUGAGAUCUAAUCAAGUCUAUCACCACCGCAACCGCCGGCGACGACUUGCACGGAGGUUGUCAUGGCCGAGGCGGGUGACCACGUAUGAGGAGGAGGCGAAUUGCCGGUUUCGGGUCGACGAGGCUUCUCUGUGGGCUCGAGUGCCUGGCUAUCACGUGGGCCUCCGACUUGAGCCUCGCUGGAAUUAAGCAUGUCCUUCAUGCCUCUCACGGCGAGUUAUUUGCUACUCCCUCCAUCCCAAAUUGAUUAUUAUAUAAGGUCCAGUACAAAGACCGAGAAUCUAUUUAAUUAGCAUUGGAAGACUAGAGUUAUAAAUCCCAAGCUGCAUGUACAUCAAAGCUGAUUGGAUAGAUGCAUGCAAGCAUUUAAUGUGCGUGUUAACCAAAGUGAUUUUCACACUAUAAUCAAUGCAUAAUAGACUCUUUUCUCUUAUAUGAUGAUCAAUUUGUGAUUUUUAGUUUUCUUUUAUAUGACUAAAUUGAGAGAGUAUUAUAGUACGUUGGCCUCGCCAAAAUAGUAUCCUCACUAUAGGGCUUCGUCAAAAUAGUACUCCUAAAAGUGGGGCUUCGUUAAAGUAACUAGCGGUAUGGCCCGUGCAAUUGCGCGGUUACGACCUAAAUUUAUAAUAUGAAGUAAAAUUAUUUUUAUUUCUUUUAAAUGGUUACCUUAAACUCUUCAAUUUUUAAAGACUAUUAUAUUCAUAUUUUUAUUCAAUUUUUUCUAUGUUUUUCACAUGACCUUUAUUUAUAGAUUUGUAGGAAGAAAAUUACAUUUUUAUUAUAUAAUUCUUGUAUCAAUAUACACCGGUAUAAUCUUACACCGUUAUAAUCUAGAUGAUUUCACUUUCAAAAUAUUUCUCCUUUUCUCCGAUUAAUACAUAAGUUUCUAUGCUAAUAGAGCGAAUACUAUGUUUUCUUUCAAGAUUAUAUAUUUAUAAUAAAUUUUAGAAAUUUUGUCGGAUUUCCCAGUGAAUCGAGCAAUAAUGAGAAAGUUGUUUGUUAAAUAAGAAAUCUAAUCUUCGUCUAAACAUAUGCAUGUAUAAAGAAAAGAUGACAUAGCAAUUAACGAAAAAGAAGAAAGGAAAGAAUGAAUUGCCAUGUUGCUUUGCCAGUUCCAACGUGCAAACCGUGCUUGUUUUUCUUAUUUACUGAUUUCAUUGUUGCUAGAUGUUGAUUGCUUCAUUUAUCCGCAGUUCUGUUGUAGCGAUAAGCUGAUUGCUUCUUUGGUGCUCGGUAUUUCUUCACAAAUAUUAAAUGUGACUCACAAUAUGAAACCGAGAUAAAUUCAUAUUAGGAAAUAUUUUGGCUGCCAUGACAUGGCCAAAUACGAUUUCUAAUAUUUUAUAAUUUGGAGCUAGUUUACUUUUCAAAAAAGAUCACGGUGGUAAACAUGGAAUAUGCUAGCGGUUCAGCAUGAGGUUUCCAGUUUUUAUUUGAUUUCUAAUAGUAAUUCUGCCGUAUGCAGUGCACCGAUGGCCAUGCAACAUGCCAGAUUUUGAAUAGUUAAAAGGUUUCAUCUUAGAGUCCGCUAUGGCUGGUAAUUUUUUCUUUAUCCAUUGCCUUACGCUUGGUGGAGUCCGAGAUGGCAUGUAUGGCUGGUUCUUUCUUUUUUAUCCAUGGAAUUGCACAGAUCACGGCUAGCAUAGUUAUAAAUUAUAAUUAUAUACGUAUAUUAUCUUGAUAAUAAUUAUUUUAAAUUAUUAAUUAGAAUUUAUUUUUUCUAAAUUAUAUUUUUACAUAGAAUCUCAUUUAUCUGUGUUCUAAUACAUAAACUCUUUUCUGCAUAAUAUUUAAUUUGUAAUUCAAAUUUUAGAUACUUCUAAAUUGUAUUUAUAUGUUAAUUCUUUCUCUUAAUUUUACUUAUUUUUAACUGGAAUUUAUAGUGGACUCUUCUCAAUAUCAAUUAUUUUAAAAUUUUUAAUUCAAUAUUUAGAUUGUUCUAAAUUGUAUUUACACGUGGAAUCUUUUUUAUUAUCUUUCUUUAUUUAUAAUUUUGAAACUAUAUUUAUGGAUGGAUUCUUCCCUCAAUAUACUUUUUUGAAAAGUUUUAAUCUAAAAUUUAGAUUCUUUUUAUUUUUUCUUUAUUUUUUUCUAUAAUUGUAUUUCUAAUCCUAUUCUUCUUUUUGUCCGAUUGACUCCUAUUUACAAAGUGAUGUUUAUUGUGUCAUUGCUAUGGCGUGGGCCCGUAUGGAUGGCACUUAUUUUUAUCCGCUGCCUUCCGAUUCGUAGAGUCAAAAAAACAUAAAACAAUAUUAAUUGGAAAUAUUGGUUUAUUUGAUUACUUCUAGAACUCUUAACAUAAAAUUUUCUAUCUAUAUAUGUUUUUUAAUCUUGACCAUUAAAAUAUGAGAUAAUCAUGUUCUAACGGUACAUAUUUUUUUCUUUUUCUACAACGUGGAAAUUUAUAGCCUCCAGAGCAAACGUGAGUCUCCUUUUAAGUUUGUCUUUAUUUAUAUUAUGAUAGAUAGAUAGAUAGAUAUUUUAGCAUUUUUAAAACGAUUUCUCCCCCACUUUAUCAGAAUCAGAUCGAAUUGCCCUUUUCUAUUUACUCGAGGAGACCGAGGCUGAACACGUCCGUGAGAGCGACCGAGACUAAGAGGAUCCCAACAGUUUUUUUGAUCAUCUAUAUCUAGAGAAUUGAAAAAAAGAACAUUUUUCUAAUGGAUGACAUAAAAAAUAAAUGACAUAGAUAUCUGCUGGAGCUCAACAUGGAUGAGCUGUGCGGAUGUCUGAGAAGCCGACGCCGACGCCGACGCCGUCCCCCUCCUCUCUCCGGCGCCGGCCCCGUCCCCUCCGCCUCUGCCCCUCUCCGGCACCGCUCCGCCUCCGCCUCCCCGCUCUGGCCCUUUCCGACGCGGCUCUCCCGGCGCCGCCUCGGGGCCCAACCUCUCCGGAACCACUCCGCCUCCGCCCCUCUCUCCGGCGUCUCUCUCGGCGUCGGCCCUGUCCCCCCCCCCUCCGGCCCCCUCCCCUGGACGGCUGGGGUGUGGACGGCGGUGGUGCAGCUGGCGUCGAUUGCGGGGCUGUGGAGGCCGCGGGUGCUCGCCGUCUGCGGCGGCGGAGGGGGCGCCACGGGGCUCGCCGCGCUCGCUGGCGAGGACCGCGUCGUGGCGAGGCGGCGCUCGUGCCGAGGAGUGAGUAUAUUUGUCCUUUCGCACGCCUAGUUUGUGAUAAAACAACAGCUAAUGGGAUAAAAUCGGUCAAAAUAUCAUUUUGAUGAAGCCCCUUUUUUAGAAGGACUAUUUUAACGAAGCCUAUAGCGGGGAUACUAUUUGGCUAGGCCCAUUCUACCGAGGAGCAUAAUAGCAAAUAACUCUCUCGCGGUCGCGGUCUCGCCCUCAGGCUCAGGCAAGUCAACCCCACGGAGCAAACCCCCGUUUUGUGCGGCGGCAAUGGCGACGUUCUCCGAGGCGCCCGCCGGGGACGCGGCGGCCGGCGAGAAGAUCUUCAGGACCAAGUGCGCGUACUGCCACAGCGUCGACAAGGGCGCCGGCCACAAGCAUGGUGAGCCACCGAUCCACCUAGCACUAAACUGCUAUAGCUCACUGCGCUUCGGUUGAAAUGCGAGAUUGGAGGUUUCUGCGUCGUUUUGCUGCUCUGAUCUGAUGAGGUGAUAUGUGCAGUAUGGCAGGGUUUCCCAAGUUAACAUUAUAUGCUACAUCUUACAACUACAUGUUUCUGUUUUGAUGUUUGUUUCAUGGUUACGGAUUUUGAAAUCACCAUGAAUUCAUGGGGAAAAUGCAUUGAUCGGACUAUUGGUUUUGCUGGUGCGAUGCACUUAGGCUGUUUGAGCCCUUCUUUGGAACCAGUUUCAUGGUGGUAUGCUCAGGGCCUGGUGGGGCAUAUGCUAGUUUUAAUGCUAAUCCUAAUGAUUUAAGCAUCGCGUUUGUCUGAAUCCUUCGUUGCGUCUUCUUUGGUGGUUAUCACUUUGUGAAAGCUUAAGUGACAAUCAUCAGGUACUGUUCUGUGCAGUGGCUGAAUAUCUUUCGAAGUUCAAUUCAUUUGUUCAUGUGGAGUUAUGAGCAAAGUAAAUGACAUUCUCUCUUUUUUCAGCAAAGUAGAUGUCAUUCUCCUUUUUUCUAACAGAUGCUGAUGUGCAAUUACUAAUGUCAACUAUGCCAUCCUUUGCAGGGCCAAAUUUGAAUGGUUUGUUUGGGAGGCAGGCUGGAACAGCUCCUGGUUUCUCUUACCCAUCUGGUGACAAGAUAGUGGCUGUGGUUUGGGAAGAGAACAAUCUGUACGAUUACCUGCUUAAUCCUAAGAAGGUGCGGUCAGUGUUAAUUUUCCAUCACUUCCUUUUUUUUUGUUGUAUCUUCGUGAUAUUUGUUUAUUUCUGACCAGAUAUGCCAUUAGCCAUGUUAUCCUGUGCCGAUGUUGUAGUUUGCCGGUCGAAGAGUUCAUAAUUAAGUCUGGAGACCAAAGUAAUUCGCAAGCUUUGUUGUCUGUUGAAUUGAUAGUGGUUGUGAACUUUGUUGCUGUUGCUAAUGAUAUACUUCAGCGUGCUUUUGAGCUACCACGCUGUGGACCUAAAUCCAAUAUAAUUGACCCUCUGGAACUGUUAAGUGUUAGUUUCUCAUGUUUAUACUGACUAUGUUCGUUCUUGUGUGCAUUUUCCUGUCUCUACAUAUUGUAAAUUAGUUGCUUUUGCUUCUACUCAAGUGGCAUUUGAACAACUCUGUUUACAGCAAUUCAGUUAUAUGCAUCUAUUCUCUCUAGAGGGAUAAUCAUUUGUUACUCAGUGAGAGUUGGGAUCCAUUGCAACGCAUGGACACAGUGCUAGUAUAUGUUGGGCAAUAACUACUAGUAGCUCAUUGUGCUGCUUUGUUCUAUACAUGUCUUUGCAGAUACUCUUGGUUCUGUUAUCCAGUCAUAACCUAUAGAGUAGCAGGAUUCGCAUGAAGGGUCAUUGCAUCACAAGAGCUGAUGCUGCACAGAAGAGAUUAUAGGCAUUACUAGCAAAAGAAUUGAUCUCUAAAGAAAAGCAAGAGUUAGGUUUUCUCGUAUUCAAAAAAAUAACAUGUACUUCACCUUGUCUUGCUAAGUACCUCUAAUGCAUGCCAUGCAAUUAUCUUUUCCCAGUAGCACCACAUAUGCCCAGGGCAUAUCAAAUGCUGUAUAUUUUAGGCAUAUUUGUCAUCUAUUAUAGUGAGAUUCACUCAUUCUAUAUGAUCUCAAGAUAUUGCUCUUGUUUGCUUAUGCAGUACACUCCUGCCAAAAUGGGGUUCAAUGGACUGAAGCAGCCACAGGAUCGAGCUGACCUCAUUGCAUACCUGAAGAAAGCCACAGUUUGAGAGUGCUUUGCUGCCAUCUUCCCAAGACGAAGAGAGCCUUUUGUUUGGCAGAAAAUCAAAUAGACAUCAAAGCCACUUGUGUAUUCCCUCCGUAAAAAAAAAAAUUCUAGGAAUAAAUCUAGAUAACUGUAUGUUAUUGAGAUAAAUCCCUAGAAGUUUUCUUUUUUGGAACAUAGGGAGUACUUUGCAAAACUGUGUUGUAAAUUGUUGCAAUAAUAAGCAGUGGCCUUGUGGAGGAGAGAAAAUUGUUAUUAUGCCAUCCUCGAUACGUGUAUUCGCUUAAAUAACAUUUUAAAAUUUGUAUUCGCUGAAAUACCACUCUCAAACUAGGGGAGCUAUAGGAUACGGACGAAACUGCUUCUCCCUACUUCACAGGUCACAGCACAACUCCAUCUACUCCCAGUUCCCGUCGUCUCCACCCAGCUUGGACGCUGGCGCUCUCCACCCAAGAUCACCCCCCGCCCCGCCACGUCGACCAGAUCUCGACGGCGCCGCGGGCUCGGCCCUGCUGACGCCGACGCGGGCUUGUCCCGGCCGCCUCCUCCGCCGCUCGGUCUCGCCGCCGCUGUUUCGUCCCCGCCGCCGCCCGGCCUCAUCCCCGAGCCGCCCCAGCCUCAGCUACAUACACUUUUAAGCUAUAGAAUGUAUUAAUCGUUUGCAUUUCUGCUAAUGACGGUAGAAUAGAAUAAUUUUUACUGUAUAUAGGAUAGACCGACACAGGAAAGAAAAGUCAGAAUCUAAGAUAAUACAUCGUCACCUGCUUAACGCAGGGGUAAUAAGUUUAUGAUCAUGUUAAUACAAACAUAUAAGGUGUUGCUACUUUUUUUGGUUCCUAUUAGAUGGAUGGAAUUAGUACACUAAUAGUAAUAUAUUAAUUAAUUAGUUCUUCACUAAUCAUGUUACCAACUUAAUUUUAGGAAAUACUAUCAAUUUAUGUUCUUACAACUUUAAUAUAAUCUGUAUGAGAUUACAAUAUCAAUAGAAUAUGUCAUUAAUAGAACAUGAAAUUUUAUUAUUAAAAAUGAAUAUUUAAUGUCAACCCGUGCUAAUAUACUAUUUAAUUUAAAUCAUGUAAAAAUAUUGGUUAUUAAAUGUUGCCAAAAGUUAUAUCUAAAUUUUUAAAAAUUGCCCAAAAAAUAUUAAUACUUAUAAAAUAUAUAGAAACUUAAUAUAUAAUAUAUACUAUAGAUAUUUAAUGCUACCCGCAACGUAUGGGACGACGCUAGUUCCAUUUAAUUCGCCAUUCCAACAAAUUUGACGGUAAACCCUGCUCAACCAGAGGCAUUUAGGUCAUAAUAUUGAUGCAAAUAUGUAUGUAUACAUUUUUAUUUUUAUUUAUAGCAAGAAGGGCAAAUGUUAAUUUAACAAGUUGAAUUGUUUGAGAUGAUAUUUUAGCGGAUAUAAAUAUGGGCGAAUGCACGUUGCGAAGAUGUUAGAAUAGCAACUCCGAGGAGAUGUGCAGCUCUCCGAUCCGCUUGGCCUGAGCCGCGAUGCGAGCUGUUCUUCCUGUUGGACGUCACGUGCGCUACAGCUUUGGGAAUGUGCAGUCCUUCCCGCAUAGCGUGCGGGGGACGUUGCUCUGGGGCACGAAAAGAACAGUGGCGAUGCCGCUGUCACAACCCAGGCAGGCAAAUCGCUCGAGUAUGUCGACCAGUUGGCCUAAGCUUAAAGCAAGUUUAUUACUAUGGCUGCGUUCGAACGGGAGGGCUGCAAAAGCUAAAUAGCAGCACGGGAAACGAUAAAUAUAAUUAGUAUAUGAUUAAUUAAGUAUUACUUAUUAAAAAAUUAAAAAAUAAAAUUAUUUGAUUUUUUAAACAAUUUCUAUAUAGAAAAUUUUUAAAUGAAAUAUAUCAUUUAAUAGUUUGAAAAACGUGCUAACGGAAAACGAGAAGAAAUUUAGUCUAACUUGCCAAAUCGAACGCAGCCUAUAGUCAACUGCUAGCUCCAAAUCAUAUAUAGUCAAUUUAAUUUAAUAACCAAUUUAUAUAGUAGUUAACUAUAAAACAUAUAUAUAUAUAUAUAUUAUAUACAGUUCUAGUCAUACACAUCAUAUGUUAAAGUCCGUGCUAAAGCUGAUUAUAAAUCUAUAGCAGCUAGCUUCUCUCCUCUCUUAUCUCAUAAAAUAUGCAAAAUAUGUUUAUGGCUGGGUUAUAGCCUGCAUUAACAGACGAAUGAUCUCCACUUGUGCACGUUUCCGAUGCAGAGAUUACACAUGUGUGUGCGUCCAACUAGGAAGAUUCUGCCAAAGCUAUAACAAUUUUGUGUGAAAGCAACUAGGAAGAUUACAGCAAUGUGCUGCUCUAUGUAUCUUCCGUUCCGUUGCAUUGGUAGGUUCUACACUUGCUCAAAUAAACGUAGCCGGUAGCGCUGAUUGAAUUUACAAAACAAAUUUGAAAGAAACACAAGGUCGAGUGAAUGGCAGACUUGCAGCAAGUGCCUGAAGAAUUUCAUUAGUAGCAAAUUGGGAUAAGGGAAAGGACAUUAGAAGGACCUAAUUUGUUUCCAGUGCUAGCUACUAGUAGUAGUGACGUUCAGUUUUGCUUUGCUCCUGUUGGUGAGAACAUGUGAUCCCAAGAGACCAUGCUGUAAGAGAAAAAAAAAAAGUGACACGACGGCAGGCCCACUACAUAAUGACAGAUCCCUCCAAGCCACAGAUCACAUGCAUUGCGGUACUAGUAGCACCAGGCAAGUAACACAAGUGGUCAAGUACCCAUAUUACCCCAACAUAAGGAAUCCUAUGUUCUACACUUCUACAACAAGCACAAAAAAAACAUGACAGGAAAAUCAACUGCAGAGGGGAAAUUUUGCCUUAGAAUGGAGAGAGAGGGUAAAGAGCUUGUAGAAACAGGACAAAUGCCGAUCACAAAAACAGGAGACAAUUUUGUCCCAGUUGACCAUGUCCAGCAACAGGUGCUUUGGAUACCAGGCAGUGUGCAUCUGGAUGGAUCAUGCUAAGCAGUCUAUGCAGGGGGAGGAAAUUGUAAACAAGCUCAACUGCCCACUGACCCAUUUUUAAGGAGACAUCCCCAGAUGGCCAGAUCUAUCAUCGAUGCCUUGUCAAAGCAUGUAGAGCAGGUGAGCCAUGAAACUUCUCAGGCUACAAGAGGAGCCAUGAAACUUCUCAGGCUACAAGACCAGCCAAUGAGAUAAACAUAAAGUAAAGAUCCAUUUUUUAGCCAUAUAUGAAGUCUCAGGCCUCGUCCAGCUCUCUACUUGAGUAUAUUUCAAGUGAAACAUCCUAGUGGGGAAAAUUGAUUUGAACUGAAUUCCUAGUAUGACUUAGUUUGGUCAAACAUUUGCCUAAUCUUCAUUGUUCAGUUGGAAGAAAAGGGUGUAUAGAGAUGGAGGGCAGACUGGCAAGAGGACUUGGUAGAUGGUGGUCCUUGCUUAGCAUAUGCUACCACUGUAUUUCCCACAAAGCUAUUUAUAACUGACAGCUGCUUCUUGGCAGACCUUUAAUUCAACACCAAGAAGCAAAUAUAAUAUAUACUUGCAUAGCUGUCAUGGAGAGAAGCAGCUAAGGAAUAGAGGACAAGGCUGAGGCCCAUUCCAGCCUAUGCCAUGGUGGAACUUAUUAGCUAAGAUAUUAUUGUGGAGCAGCAAAACCAACCAAAAGUGAAUUCCAACUCAGCCUUUCCAGCCAAUGCCAGAUGCACAGCUCCUCAGCGUUUGCAACAUCCAGCUACAUGCCACUUUGAUAAAUGAGAUUUGAGUACUAAACUAAUGAUGAGUCAAGCUACUUGGAAACUUUACAAAAACCUUUGAUUGCCACAAAACUGUUAUCAUUAAGGUAGUAAGAGGAAGAAAGAGGAAGAGAGAAAAGGGGAAACAUAGUAGAAGGGCAAAAGGAACAGGUGAAUAUUUCUUAGUAUCUAGGUACUUCCUUGAGAGGUAGCAUGGGCAUUGCAGCGCUUGGGGAUGAACCUGAAGGUGAGGGUGAUCCAAUAUGAGCACCACUGCGAGAGGAGAGUCCGAUUUCAUCAACACCAUCCUGUUGAAGUUGGUCUUCCCUGAUCAUAGUGCGGAAGGAUAUAGAACCACGUUUCGUUGAAGUAUCUGAAUUCCGUUCAAUUUCUCGGAAGCUCUGAUUGGCUACAAGCGAUGCACCUUCAUAAUAGUAAUCAUCAUAAGGAACCAUCUCUGCUAUUUCCCUGUGACCUAUCUCUCGGAGAGCCAAUGAAUCUGCCACAGGAUAGUACACCAGCAAGAGUACCCCAACGGUUGUGCAGGAUAUCAUCAUCAGGAAUGACAAGAAGAUGAUCACUUCAAAUGCUACAUCUCCUGGAUGGGGCAGGACAGAAAACCCAAGCAGAAGCACCCUGAUAGGGAGGAAGAAAAGCACCGAUAACAUCAGCAAGGAAACCCUCCUUCGCAGUGCCUUGUUGAUGACCAAGGACAAAACCCGAGAUCCAACAUAGGAAACAUAGCUCAUCAGGAUGGCAUCUAUAAGUCCCAGGAAAAUGGUGCCAAACAAUGGGUAGGUGCAAAUAUUUGUAUCCCCAACCGGCAUGGAUGUCCGAAUGAAGUAUUUUGCGAUCUUUCUCCUUCCAUGUGUAUCAUUCUCCUCCUUAACAAAUUUAGGCCCAAUAAACACGAGAAGAGCUUGCACGAAGAAUACCGGAACACAGAAAACCAACAUGUAGCCUAUGGUCUUCCAAUUCCAUCUUUGGUUCAAAGUGCCCAACUCCCUCUUCUGUAAUGAGCCAUGAAGAAGGAACGCAAACGCAAAGAAGAUGCUUGGCUCCGCAAACCCUAGAUUGGAAAGGAUGUACGCGUCACAUACACCCUUCUGCAAUAGUAUGCUGGAGAACAACUUUCUCUUCAAGAAGCUCAAUCUGACAAUCUCCCCUACUCCCCACCAAAUGGUGACCAGAAUCAAAACAAUGCGAGUCACCCAAGGGCCGUUAAAGUAUCCAAGUGGAAUAAAGGCCCCUCUCCGAAUCCGAAACCGGAAAUAGAUUGACUGGAAAAUGCAGAAGAGGCCCAGAAGAGCGAAGAUUGCAAACAGUGUAAUUGUUGCCACACCGAAUGCAUCGGCAGCUUCUCUGGUCAGGGGCAUCACCCGAAGCACAGCUGCCACGCAUGCUCUCCACUCGCAUCGAUAGCACAAUGGCCCUCAAAUACCAUAGACUCAGCUGCCGUCUAAGUUCCAAAUGUGUCCAGCUUCUACAGCGCUGCAAUCAUGAAAAUAAUCGCGUGAGUGGUUGCAGCACCAACGCAAAUUUGGUAAAGAAGGCCACAAGUUACUAAGGAAAUAUUUGCUCUUUACUACCCGUCAUGCCCGAACCCUCCAAAGCUAGUACGAUUCGGCUACGCAAUAAACCUUAUCCCCACAAAAGAAGAUGCUCCCAUUGUACCACUGGCUAUACUCAUAGUUCGCAUAAACCCAGUUUAAUCUGCUAAAUUAGCAUGCACACCACCGAGGAUGUGUCAGUUGGUCGCGCAUUACUUGCAUGAGCUAACCAUUCCAGCACCCCAAAAGCAGCAAUUUUAAGCACGAACACUUCGAAACGAGCAAGCGCAUCACUUCCCAUAGCCCACAAGCAGCAUAUCUGCUCAUCCCCCAGCCCAACCCAACUGUUCAAACCAAAACCCAUCAAGCAAGCACCCACCGAGGCAGUAGAAGAUCACUAGCGGCUCCCUCCCCUCCCCUCCCCACCCCAAGCAUCUAGAGCAAGGCCGAAAGCUCACCUCGGCGGAAGGACGGGGAGACAGCGCGGGGAGCGCCCUGGUGGGGAGCUCCCCCCGGGCGACGGGCCCCCGCCGGCGGUGGUACACACACGCCCACCCGCGACGGGAUCCGGGCGGUUCAGGGCUCGAGCGUGGGGCCGCGCGGCGAGCUGGCGGCGGAGGCGAAGCCGGGGUGGGGAACGAAGAGGGAGGGGAGAGCGAGAGGGGGAGGAGAGAGAGGGAGAGAGAGAGAGAGUAGAGAGACAGAGCGAAGAAGAGGGGGAGAGCCGGAGAG